CGGGGUGCAGCAGGCGCGAAAACUCCACAAUGUACGGAAGUACGAUGGGGUUAUCUCGAGUGCAGUCCGAUAAGGGCUGCUUUUCCAUAGAGUAAUAUCCUGUGGGAAUAAGAGGGGGGCAAGACUGGUGUCAGCCGCCGCGGUAACACCAGCCCCUCGAGUGGUGGGGACUAUUAUUUGGCCUAAAGCGUCCGUAGCUGGCUGUAUCCGUCCCCCGUUAAAUCCAGCGUCCUAAGCGUUGGACCGCGGGUGAUACCAUACAGCUAGAGGGUGGGAUAGGUGAGCGGUAUUUCUGGGGUAGGGGCGAAAUCCUUUGAUCCCAGGAGGACCACCAGUGGCGAAGGCUGCUCACUAGAACACGCCUGACGGUCAGGGACGAAAGCUGGGGCAGCGAACCGGAUUAGAUACCCGGGUAGUCCCAGCUGUAAACGAUGCUGCUAGGUGUUGGGUCGGCCACGCGCCGCCCCAGUGCCGCAGGGAAGCCGUUAAGCUAGCCGCCUGGGGAGUACGGCCGCAAGGCUGAAACUUAAAGGAAUUGGCGGGGGAGCAC
RNAcentral lists this ribosomal RNA (550 nucleotides) under uncultured archaeon. RNAcentral describes it as "bacterial SSU rRNA". It matches the Rfam family "Archaeal small subunit ribosomal RNA", at positions 326 to 879 of the family's 1478-position model. The record is from RNAcentral.